GGGGAAUUUUCCGCAAUGGGCGAAAGCCUGACGGAGCAAGACCGCGUGGGGGAUGAAGGUUUGUGGAUUGUAAACCCCUUUUGAUUGGGAAGAAUACUGACGGUACCAAUCGAAUAAGCCUCGGCUAACUCCGUGCCAGCAGCCGCGGUAAUACGGAGGAGGCAAGCGUUAUCCGGAAUUAUUGGGCGUAAAGCGUCCGUAGGUGGUUUAGUAAGUCUGCUGUUAAAGCGCGGGGCUUAACUCCGUAUCGGCAGUGGAAACUACUAGACUAGAGUGUGGUAGGGGUAGAGGGAAUUCCCAGUGUAGCGGUGAAAUGCGUAGAUAUUGGGAAGAACACCGGUGGCGAAAGCGCUCUACUGGGCCAUAACUGACACUGAUGGACGAAAGCUAGGGGAGCGAAAGGGAUUAGAUACCCCUGUAGUC
Molecule: ribosomal RNA, 423 nt
Filed under: uncultured cyanobacterium
Lineage: Bacteria; Bacillati; Cyanobacteriota
Description: bacterial SSU rRNA
Rfam family: Bacterial small subunit ribosomal RNA
Source: RNAcentral